AUGAACGCUAGCGACAGGCCUAACACAUGCAAGUCAGGGCAGCACAAGGAGCAAUCUGAGGUGGCGACCGGCGCACGGGUGAGUAACACGUAUGCAACCUGCCUGUAAGCGGGGAAUAACCCGUUGAAAGACGGACUAAUACCGCAUAAUACUAAAUUACUGCAUGGUAAUUUAUUUAAACAUUUAUGGCUUACAGAUGGGCAUGCGCAUGAUUAGCUAGUUGGAGAGGUAACGGCUCCCCAAGGCAACGAUCAUUAGGGGUUCUGAGAGGAAGGUCCCCCACACUGGUACUGAGACACGGACCAGACUCCUACGGGAGGCAGCAGUGAGGAAUAUUGGUCAAUGGACGAGAGUCUGAACCAGCCAAGUCGCGUGCAGGAAGAAUGUCCCUAUGGAUUGUAAACUGCUUUUGCAGGGGAAUAAAGUGCAUCACGUGUGAUGUUUUGUAUGUACUCUGCGAAUAAGGAUCGGCUAACUCCGUGCCAGCCGCCGC
This 493-nucleotide ribosomal RNA is filed under the name uncultured bacterium. Its description in RNAcentral is "bacterial SSU rRNA". It matches the Rfam family "Bacterial small subunit ribosomal RNA", at positions 29 to 518 of the family's 1533-position model. The record is from RNAcentral.